GACGAACGCUGGCGGCGUGCUUAACACAUGCAAGUCGAACGGAAAGGCCCUGCUUUUGUGGGGUGCUCGAGUGGCGAACGGGUGAGUAACACGUGAGUAACCUGCCCUUGACUUUGGGAUAACUUCAGGAAACUGGGGCUAAUACCGGAUAGGAGCUCCUGCUGCAUGGUGGGGGUUGGAAAGUUUCGGCGGUUGGGGAUGGACUCGCGGCUUAUCAGCUUGUUGGUGGGGUAGUGGCUUACCAAGGCUUUGACGGGUAGCCGGCCUGAGAGGGUGACCGGCCACAUUGGGACUGAGAUACGGCCCAGACUCCUACGGGAGGCAGCAGUGGGAAAUAUUGCACAAUGGGCGGAAGCCUGAUGCAGCAACGCCGCGUGCGGGAUGACGGCCUUCGGGUGGUAAACCGCUUUCGCCUGUGACGAAGCGUGAGUGACGGUAAUGGGUAAAGAAGCACCGGCUAACUACGU
RNAcentral lists this ribosomal RNA (467 nucleotides) under uncultured bacterium. RNAcentral's name for it is "partial 16S ribosomal RNA". It matches the Rfam family "Bacterial small subunit ribosomal RNA", at positions 28 to 506 of the family's 1533-position model. The record is from RNAcentral.